RNAcentral lists this ribosomal RNA (541 nucleotides) under uncultured bacterium. Its description in RNAcentral is "bacterial SSU rRNA". It matches the Rfam family "Bacterial small subunit ribosomal RNA", at positions 776 to 1329 of the family's 1533-position model. The record is from RNAcentral.
GAAUAGAUACCCCGGUAGUCCACGCCGUAAACGAUGGAUACUAGCUGUUGGAGGUAUCGACCCCUUCAGUAGCGAAGCUAACGCGUUAAGUAUCCCGCCUGUGGAGUACGGUCGCAAGACUAAAACAUAAAGGAAUUGACGGGGACCCGCACAAGCGGUGGAUCGUGUUCUUUAAUUCGAUGCUAAACGAAGAACCUUACCAGGGCUUGACAUCCCUUGAAUUACUUCGAAAGAAGUGAGUGCUUUAUUGAACAAGGUGACAGGUGAUGCAUGGCCGUCGUCAGCUCGUGUCGUGAGAUGUUUGGUUAAGUCCAUCAACGAGCGCAACCCUUGCAACUAGUUGUAUUUUUCUAGUUGGACUGCCCCGGUAACGGGGAGGAAGGAGGGGAUGAUGUCAGGUCAGUAUUUCCCUUACGUCCUGGGCUAGAAACACGAUACAAUGGCUAGUACAAUGCGCAGCGAAGCCGCGAGGUGAAAGCAAAUCGCAUCAAAGCUAGUCCCAGUUCGGAUUGGAGGCUGAAACUCGCCUCCAUGAAGUCGG